GAGCAGGCUUGGUUGAAUGGUUACGCUGUUAGCUUUGUAAGCAAAAGAUCAUGGCUUCAAUUCCCUUUUGCUCC
RNAcentral lists this transfer RNA (74 nucleotides) under Culex quinquefasciatus (southern house mosquito). RNAcentral's name for it is "tRNA-Thr". The record is from RNAcentral. Lineage: Eukaryota; Metazoa; Arthropoda; Insecta; Diptera; Culicidae.